CUGAUUUCCAUGAGAAUUCAUGUAAACUGGAGGUUGAACCGUGAGCAGAAGCCACAGAUCUCCUGUGCAGUAUUUUAAUAGGCUCCACUGUCAUCAUUAAAGAGGAGACUGCGUCAAUGUGAAUCAGCUGUGACAGGAUCUUCUCUUCACCAGGCUGUGUGUGUUCACAUAAAAAGGGCCGCUUGGUGCCUCAUUGGACUCCUUCUUCUGCACAAAGUGGACCAAUCAGGAGCUGCUGACUUCAGUCCAGAGGAACAGGUUGUUGUAAUGAAGAGAGGAAGGCUGUCAGAAAAAUCCUCAUCAUGAAAUGGGCUGCUUUCAUUGUCAACCUCUUUGGCUUCACCAAACAGCUGCUGGGGACAAACGCAGCGAGCACCCAGUUUGCUCAACAGAGGAAGUAAAUUGACACUCUAAGGGACCUAAUGAGGGAUCAAGAGCUCCCACCCCCACCAACAACAACAACUUCAGAGUUUAAGAGGUCAUUAAGGCAGCGUACUCAGCCUCUGCCUCAGGCCCUAAUGGUGUCCCUGCAUCGUUUACAAGGCCUACCUAGAGCUCCCCUGAUAGUCGCAGACCAGUGGAGGUAGGUGGAGGGAGUGUGGAUCCCCAAAGAAGAAAACUGCAAAAAUCUCAGUCAGUUUGAGUCAAACUCAAGGCUGAGUGUUGAAGGAAAAGUGUUCU
This is a long non-coding RNA of Scatophagus argus, 681 nucleotides long. RefSeq lists it as uncharacterized. The transcript has 3 exons. Lineage: Eukaryota; Metazoa; Chordata; Actinopteri; Scatophagidae. The record is from RefSeq and is a predicted model, not a curated record.